UAGGGAAUCUUCGGCAAUGGGGGGAACCCUGACCGAGCAACGCCGCGUGAGUGAAGAAGGUUUUCGGAUCGUAAAGCUCUGUUGUUAAGGAAGAACGAGUGUGAGAAUGGAAAGUUCAUGCUGUGACUGUACUUAACCAGAAAGGGACGGCUAACUACGUGCCAGCAGCCGCGGUAAUACGUAGGUCCCGAGCGUUGUCCGGAUUUAUUGGGCGUAAAGCGAGCGCAGGCGGUUAGAAAAGUCUGAAGUGAAAGGCAGUGGCUCAACCAUUGUAGGCUUUGGAAACUGUUUAACUUGAGUGCAGAAGGGGAGAGUGGAAUUCCAUGUGUAGCGGUGAAAUGCUUAGAUAUAUGGAGGAACACCGGUAGCGAAGGCGGCUCUCUGGUCUGUAACUGACGCUGAGGCUCGAAAGCGUAGGGAGCGAACAGG
This 429-nucleotide ribosomal RNA is filed under the name Bacteroidota bacterium. RNAcentral describes it as "Bacteroidetes bacterium partial 16S ribosomal RNA". It matches the Rfam family "Bacterial small subunit ribosomal RNA", at positions 355 to 776 of the family's 1533-position model. The record is from RNAcentral. Lineage: Bacteria; Pseudomonadati; Bacteroidota.